This 245-nucleotide ribosomal RNA is filed under the name uncultured bacterium. Its description in RNAcentral is "partial 16S ribosomal RNA". It matches the Rfam family "Bacterial small subunit ribosomal RNA", at positions 528 to 772 of the family's 1533-position model. The record is from RNAcentral.
UAGGGAGCAAGCGUUAUCCGGAUUUACUGGGUGUAAAGGGCGUGUAGGCGGGCGUGCAAGUCAGAAGUGAAAUCUGGGGGCUUAACCCCCAAACUGCUUUUGAAACUGCGGGUCUUGAGUGAUGGAGAGGCAGGCGGAAUUCCCAGUGUAGCGGUGAAAUGCAUAGAUAUUGGGAGGAACACCAGUGGCGAAGGCGGCCUGCUGGACAUUAACUGACGCUGAGGCGCGAAAGCGUGGGGAGCAAA